AACCUGUGAUGAACAGAUUCUGCCAAAUGAAUCCAGCUGAUUAUACUCCUUACCGUUCCAUUUAUUCUGAGGUU
Polyodon spathula (Mississippi paddlefish) is the source of this 74-nucleotide small nucleolar RNA. RefSeq annotates it as small nucleolar RNA SNORD47. The transcript has a single exon. The record is from RefSeq and is a predicted model, not a curated record. NCBI's taxonomy places the organism in Eukaryota, Metazoa, Chordata, Actinopteri, Acipenseriformes, Polyodontidae.